AUAGAAAAAAUUAUUUGAAAAUAAAAAUAAAAAUAUUUUUUUAUUUAUUAAAGGUUAGAAAAAUUUUGUUUUAUUAUAGUUUAAUAGUAUUGUGAAAGAAUUUAGUAUUUUAUAUGUAUAGAAGAAAAACUUAUUGUACCUUGUGUAUCAGGGCUUAUUAAUUAAAAGAUAAAGAUUUAUUUUUCUCGAUUUAGAAAGAGUUAACUUUGUAUUUAUUUUAUUGUUGAAUAAAUAUUUAGAAUAUAAAGUUGGAAGUUAAAUGUUAUUCGAUUUUUAAUAUAUCUAGUUAUUAAAGAAAAAAGUUUAAUUUUAUUUAUAUUUUUUAAUUUUAUAUAUUUGAAUUUAAUUGGAAAGUAUAAAUUAUAGUUUUAGGGAUAAGCUUAAAAUUAAACCAUUAAAAGUUAUGAAUUAUAAAUAAAAGUUGAUAGGAUUAGAAAUUUUCAUUUUAUUUUGUUAUAACAAAUUUUUAUUUAAUUAUAAUUUAUAUUUACUUUAAUUAUUUUAUUUAAUUAAAUUAUUUAAUUUAUAUUAGUUGAAAUUAUGAUAGGAUUAGUAUAAUAUUAUGUAAUUUUUUUUAUAAAAUUUAGAUUAAUUAAAGGAAUUCGGCAAAAUUAUUUUUCUGCCUGUUUAAUAAAAACAUGUCUUUUUGAUUUUAAUUUAAAGUCUGACCUGCCCACUGAAAAUUUUAAAGGGCCGCAGUAUUUUGACUGUGCAAAGGUAGCAUAAUCAAUAGUUUUUUAAUUGAAAGCUGGAAUGAAUGGUUUGACAAGAAAAUAACUGUCUCUUUUUAAAAUUUAUUAGAAUUUUAUUAUUAAGUUAAAAAGCUUAAAUAUGUUUAAAAGACGAGAAGACCCUAUAGAAUUUUAUUUUAAUAUCAAUAAAAAAUUUUUUAGAUUGUUUAAUAUUUUUAUUAUUAUUAAAAUUUUGUUGGGGUGAUAGAAAAAUUUAAAUAACUUUUUUAUUUUUAGUUCAUUAAUUAUUGUAUUUUUGAUCCAUUUUUUAUGAUUAUUAGAUUAAAUUACCUUAGGGAUAACAGCGUAAUUUUUUUUGAGAGUUCUUAUUAAAAGAAAAGUUUGCGACCUCGAUGUUGGAUUAAAAUUAAGUUUUGGUGUAGAGGCUAAAAUUUUAGGUCUGUUCGACCUUUAAAAUUUUACAUGAUCUGAGUUUAAACCGGUGUGAGCCAGGUUGGUUUCUAUCUUUAAAAAAAAUUAAUAGUUUAGUACGAAAGGACCAAUUAUUAUUAAAAUUUAUUUUUAUUGAUUAUUAUUA
This 1269-nucleotide ribosomal RNA is filed under the name Scaphidium formosanum. RNAcentral describes it as "16S ribosomal RNA". The stretch from base 1029 to 1187 matches the Rfam family "Archaeal large subunit ribosomal RNA", at positions 2542 to 2701 of the family's 2987-position model. Lineage: Eukaryota; Metazoa; Arthropoda; Insecta; Coleoptera; Staphylinidae. The record is from RNAcentral.